AAUAAGGUGGUGGAGGUGAUGGUGAGGGAGGUGGUGGUGAUUUGUAGUAGUAUGGAGGAGGGGGAGAUGGAGAUGGAGGUGGUGGUGACUUGUAAUAGUAAGGUGGUGGUGGAGAAGGAGAGGGUGGUGGAGGAGACUUGUAUUCAUAGUGAGGCUUAGGAGAUGGUGGUGGUGGAGACUUGUAUUCAUAUGGUGGUGGUGGUGAUGGGGAAGGUGGUGGUGGUGACUUGUACUCAUAAUGAGGCUUAGGAGAUGGUGGUGGUGGUGACUUGUAUUCAUAAUGAGGUUUGGGAGAUGGAGGUGGUGGUGACUUGUCUUCAUAAGGUGGUGGUGGAGACGGAGAUGGUGGUGGGGGAGACUUGUAUUCAUAAGGGGGUGGUGGAGAUGGAGAUGGUGGGGGGGGGGACUUGUAUUCAUAAUGAGGCUUGGGAGAUGGAGGCGGUGGGGACUUGUAUUCAUAAGGCGGUGGUGGAGAUGGAGAUGGUGGGGGGGGGGACUUGUAUUCAUAAUGAGGCUUGGGAGAUGGAGGCGGUGGGGACUUGUAUUCAUAAGGCGGUGGUGGAGAUGGAGAUGGUGGGGGGGGGGACUUGUAUUCAUAAUGAGGCUUGGGAGAUGGAGGCGGUGGGGACUUGUAUUCAUAAGGUGGUGGUGGAGAUGGAGAAGGUGGUGGGGGAGACUUGUACUCAUAAUGAGGCUUGGGAGAUGGAGGCGGUGGGGACUUGUAUUCAUAAGGUGGUGGGGGAGAUGGAGAAGGUGGUGGGGGCGACUUGUACUCAUAAUGAGGUUUAGGAGAUGGAGGUGGUGGUGACUUAUAUUCAUAAGGUGGGGGUGGGGAUGGAGAAGGUGGGGGGGGAGACUUGUACUCAUAAUGAGGUUUAGGAGAUGGAGGUGGUGGUGACUUAUACUCAUAAGGUGGUGGAGGAGAAGGAGAUGGUGGUGGUGGUGACUUAUAUUCAUAAGGUGGUGGUGGGGAUGGAGAAGGUGGUGGGGGAGACUUGUACUCAUAAUGAGGUUUAGGAGAUGGAGGUGGUGGUGACUUAUACUCAUAAGGUGGGGGAGGAGAAGGAGAUGGUGGUGGUGGUGACUUAUAUUCAUAAGGUGGUGGUGGGGAUGGAGAUGGAGGUGGAGGAGACUUGUACUCGUAAUGAGGUUUAGGAGAUGGUGGUGGGGGUGACUUGUACUCAUAAGGAGGUGGUGGAGAAGGAGAAGGUGGAGGUGGUGACUUAUAUUCAUAAUGAGGUUUAGGUGAUGGUGGAGGUGGUGAUUUAUACUCAUAAGGAGGUGGUGGAGAAGGAGAAGGUGGAGGUGGAGAAUAGUAAGGAUAAGCAUCUCCUGAUACUGAACUUACACUACUUGAAACAAAAACUACAGCCAACGCUAUGGCCAAGUGAGGCCAAAGACGACCCCACCCGGGGCCGCCGCCGGAACUUCUCAUUUCUU
RNAcentral lists this long non-coding RNA (1440 nucleotides) under Jatropha curcas. RNAcentral's name for it is "long non-coding RNA (JCUR_LNC000682)". The record is from RNAcentral. Lineage: Eukaryota; Viridiplantae; Streptophyta; Magnoliopsida; Malpighiales; Euphorbiaceae.